ACUCCUACGGGAGGCAGCAGUGGGAAGUAUUGCACAAUGGGCAGGCAAGCCAUGAUGCAGCCAUGCCGCGUGUAUGAAGAAGGCCUUCGGGUUGUAAAGUACUUUCAGCAGUGAGGAAGGUGGAGUCGUUAAUAGCGGCCUCAUUUGACGUUAGCUGCAGAAGAAGCACCGGCUAACUCCGUGCCAGCAGCCGCGGUAAUACGGAGGGUGCGAGCGUUAAUCGGAAUUACUGGGCGUAAAGCGCAUGCAGGUGGUUUGUUAAGUCAGAUGUGAAAGCCCGGGGCUCAACCUCGGAAUAGCAUUUGAAACUGGCAGACUAGAGUACU
Molecule: ribosomal RNA, 326 nt
Filed under: uncultured bacterium
Lineage: Bacteria
Description: bacterial SSU rRNA
Rfam family: Bacterial small subunit ribosomal RNA
Source: RNAcentral